RNAcentral lists this unclassified non-coding RNA (256 nucleotides) under Hevea brasiliensis (rubber tree). The record is from RNAcentral. Lineage: Eukaryota; Viridiplantae; Streptophyta; Magnoliopsida; Malpighiales; Euphorbiaceae.
UUUUUUUUUUUUUUUUUAAAUGAAUUUCUAGGAUUUUUUUUGUGGUUUGGCAUUAUGUGAUGAGAACUCCCAAAUGGAUUCUUCUAACAAAGAAUUGGGUGAAUGGAUAGCACGAUAAUCUGUAGAACAUUAUGUUUUCACUUUAGUUUUCUUUUUCUAAUCGAACCAAAAUAAUAGUCCCCAUGGAUUUCCUCUUCCCAUCAAAAUCCAAACGAAAACUCACUUACGCUAGUAGAAGUAAGCUUUUUUAAGAUAA